GAUGAACGCUGGCGGCGUGCCUAAUACAUGCAAGUCGAGCGAACGGACGAGAAGCUUGCUUCUCUGAUGUUAGCGGCGGACGGGUGAGUAACACGUGGAUAACCUACCUAUAAGACUGGGAUAACUUCGGGAAACCGGAGCUAAUACCGGAUAAUAUUUUGAACCGCAUGGUUCAAAAGUGAAAGACGGUCUUGCUGUCACUUAUAGAUGGAUCCGCGCUGCAUUAGCUAGUUGGUAAGGUAACGGCUUACCAAGGCAACGAUGCAUAGCCGACCUGAGAGGGUGAUCGGCCACACUGGAACUGAGACACGGUCCAGACUCCUACGGGAGGCAGCAGUAGGGAAUCUUCCGCAAUGGGCGAAAGCCUGACGGAGCAACGCCGCGUGAGUGAUGAAGGUCUUCGGAUCGUAAAACUCUGUUAUUAGGGAAGAACAUAUGUGUAAGUAACUGUGCACAUCUUGACGGUACCUAAUCAGAAAGCCACGGCUAACUACGUGCCAGCAGCCGCGGUAAUACGUAGGUGGCAAGCGUUAUCCGGAAUUAUUGGGCGUAAAGCGCGCGUAGGCGGUUUUUUAGUCUGAUGUGAAAGCCCACGGCUCAACCGUGGAGGGUCAUUGGAAACUGGAAAACUUGAGUGCAGAAGAGGAAAGUGGAAUUCCAUGUGUAGCGGUGAAAUGCGCAGAGAUAUGGAGGAACACCAGUGGCGAAGGCGACUUUCUGGUCUGUAACUGACGCUGAUGUGCGAAAGCGUGGGGAUCAAACAGGAUUAGAUACCCUGGUAGUCCACGCCGUAAACGAUGAGUGCUAAGUGUUAGGGGGUUUCCGCCCCUUAGUGCUGCAGCUAACGCAUUAAGCACUCCGCCUGGGGAGUACGACCGCAAGGUUGAAACUCAAAGGAAUUGACGGGGACCCGCACAAGCGGUGGAGCAUGUGGUUUAAUUCGAAGCAACGCGAAGAACCUUACCAAAUCUUGACAUCCUUUGACAACUCUAGAGAUAGAGCUUUCCCCUUCGGGGGACAAAGUGACAGGUGGUGCAUGGUUGUCGUCAGCUCGUGUCGUGAGAUGUUGGGUUAAGUCCCGCAACGAGCGCAACCCUUAAGCUUAGUUGCCAUCAUUAAGUUGGGCACUCUAAGUUGACUGCCGGUGACAAACCGGAGGAAGGUGGGGAUGACGUCAAAUCAUCAUGCCCCUUAUGAUUUGGGCUACACACGUGCUACAAUGGACAAUACAAAGGGCAGCGAAACCGUGAGGUCGAGCAAAUCCCAUAAAGUUGUUCUCAGUUCGGAUUGUAGUCUGCAACUCGACUACAUGAAGCUGGAAUCGCUAGUAAUCGUAGAUCAGCAUGCUACGGUGAAUACGUUCCCGGGUCU
RNAcentral lists this ribosomal RNA (1371 nucleotides) under uncultured bacterium. RNAcentral's name for it is "bacterial SSU rRNA". It matches the Rfam family "Bacterial small subunit ribosomal RNA", at positions 28 to 1381 of the family's 1533-position model. The record is from RNAcentral.